RNAcentral lists this ribosomal RNA (253 nucleotides) under uncultured bacterium. RNAcentral's name for it is "partial 16S ribosomal RNA". It matches the Rfam family "Bacterial small subunit ribosomal RNA", at positions 524 to 776 of the family's 1533-position model. The record is from RNAcentral.
UACAUGGGGUGCAAACGUUGCUCGGAAUUAUUGGGCGUAAAGCGCGCGUAGGCGGUUACUCAAGUCGGAUGUGAAAGCCCUCGGCUUAACUGAGGAAGUGCACCCGAAACUGAGUAGCUAGAGUACUAAAGAGGGUCGCGGAAUUCCCGGUGUAGAGGUGAAAUUCGUAGAUAUCGGGAGGAACACCGGUGGCGAAGGCGGCGACCUGAGUAGAUACUGACGCUGAGGCGCGAAAGCGUGGGGAGCAAACAGG